This 55-nucleotide transfer RNA is filed under the name Cricetulus griseus (Chinese hamster). It matches the Rfam family "tRNA", at positions 8 to 63 of the family's 71-position model. From Rfam's summary of the family: Transfer RNA (tRNA) molecules are approximately 80 nucleotides in length. Their secondary structure includes four short double-helical elements and three loops (D, anti-codon, and T loops). Lineage: Eukaryota; Metazoa; Chordata; Mammalia; Rodentia; Cricetidae. The record is from Rfam by way of RNAcentral.
UAGCUCAGUGGUAGAGUGCUUGCCUAACACUCAUGAACCUGGGUUCAAUUCCCAG